RNAcentral lists this non-coding RNA (785 nucleotides) under Aeolothrips xinjiangensis. Lineage: Eukaryota; Metazoa; Arthropoda; Insecta; Thysanoptera; Aeolothripidae. The record is from RNAcentral.
UUAAAUAUUUAUUUAGUUCUGGUUAGGUUAAAUCUUUUAAAAAAUGCGCUAUAUGGAUUCAAUAAGACAUAAACAAAGUUUUUCCAGUAUUGAAUAUUCUUUAAUUUUUAAUAUUAGAGCAAUUUUUUUCAGUGUUAGCUAACGCUUCGUGCCAGCAACUGCGGUUACACGACAAACGCAAAAGAUUAAUUUUGGAUAUAUUUAGUUAAUCGUAAAUAUAAGAAUUAAAAAGAAAAAAUUAUAAGUAUAAUUUAGUAAUUUUUAUAGAAGAAAUUCUUUUAUAUGAUGAACCUAAAAAAGUCUUGCCAAAACAAUAGGAUUAGACACCCUAGUAAUAGAUUUAUAUAUAAAAUCCAGAGUAUUAAGAGAAUUACACCUUCAAACUCAAAGAAAGUGGCGGCCCUAGAAUUUAUUAGAGAGUCUUGUUUUUUUAAUAAGAUAAUACCCAAAAUACCUUACUUUCAAUUUAAACUUUUAUACCAUCGUUUUCAGUUCACAUAACAUUAUCCGAGUAUAAAAGCUAGUUUUUUAAAUAAUUAAAAAACAGUAGAAAAAUUCAGAUCUAGGCGAAGUAAUAUUGAAAGAAAAAAUGAGACUCAUUGACAUUAAUGGAAUGAAUUAAAAUCUCUAAAAGGAUUAUCAAAAAAGAGAAUUUAAAAGUAAUCUCAGAUUAGAAAGCAGAGAUGAAUUUAAUCCAUAGGGUGUACAAAUCGCCCGUCAACCUCGAGGUUACUUGAGAUAAGUCGUAACAGAGUAGAAGUAUCGGAAGAUGCUUCUAGAGAAUA